Molecule: long non-coding RNA, 750 nt
Filed under: Mytilus galloprovincialis (Mediterranean mussel)
Lineage: Eukaryota; Metazoa; Mollusca; Bivalvia; Mytilida; Mytilidae
Source: RNAcentral
ACCUAAAUUGUCCUUGCAAAUUAUUUAGAAAUAUGUCAUUUCCUAGAUCAGUCAAAUGAACAUCAUCUUCCUUUAAAAAAGUACUAUUAUGAAGAAUAUCUGGAUACUUUAUAUAAUGUCCCCCAUUCUCUAACACGAAUGAUGCAAUGGCACUAUUUAUCCUAAUUCUGCAUGCCAUCAUGCUUUCCUGACUUUUUGAAUGACGCCAAUUUGUUCUGGGUAAAAUCUGAGAGCAGACAAUCGAACUAUUAGGUAGAUACGUUUGUACCUUCUCCAAGGUGGCCUUGAUUUCAUUCCAUAAAAACCCUAAUUUUGUCUUCCCCUAAUCAUUUCCAGCAAUAUGAAGGACAAGAUAUUUCGGCGCUUUUCAUAUUUCAUCAGUCUUUUUAUUGUCGAUUCCAAAUCUUUUAAACCCAUGCCACCAUAGUACCCUUGCCACCAAAUUUUAACUCCUAUUCCAUGAAGACCUAAAUUUACACCACCUGUUCUACUUUUUGCGUGUACAAAUACAUUUCUUAUCAAAAAUGAGCCUACUAUCCAUACUGACACUUCUUGGCCUACAAUUUGAUACAUGUAUGUAUUGACAUGAAAUAUAUUAAAUUGACCAUCAAAUUCAACGAAAUUUAUUCAAAAUUGUGGUAUUCGUAUAUAACUUUUGAAAUUAUCAGAACUCCAACGACCCAUUACUUUAAUUUUCUCGUCAGAAAAACCAAGCAUAGUUGCUGAAGUAGCACUACCGAUUCUAAAUGA